RNAcentral lists this unclassified non-coding RNA (287 nucleotides) under fungal sp. RNAcentral describes it as "partial internal transcribed spacer region". The stretch from base 1 to 46 matches the Rfam family "Eukaryotic small subunit ribosomal RNA", at positions 1786 to 1831 of the family's 1831-position model. The record is from RNAcentral. Lineage: Eukaryota; Fungi.
AAGUCGUAACAAGGUUUCCGUAGGUGAACCUGCGGAAGGAUCAUUAACACGUAUCCAACGUUAAACAACCCUGUGAACUUUCAACGCUCUUGUAGCCCCAGAGGAACAGCAAUCCCGGUAAAUCAAUGGCGGAAAAGUUUUGAUUCGGGACCUCUGUCCAAAAGGUAUCAAGUUACAAUCGAGACAGGGCGCGCGCGCCCCCUCAUUCACCCCUUGCCCUCUCAAGCCUCGCGGAAACGCCGGGCAUAAAAACCGAACAACUGUUAACAAUGGAUAUCUUGGUUCUC